Molecule: unclassified non-coding RNA, 2066 nt
Filed under: Hevea brasiliensis (rubber tree)
Lineage: Eukaryota; Viridiplantae; Streptophyta; Magnoliopsida; Malpighiales; Euphorbiaceae
Source: RNAcentral
GUCGAAAUCUCCAUGGGGAAAUAUCGGCGCUUGGGCCGCCGAAGCCGAAAGGGCCGAAGCCGAGGAAAAGGAACAAGCCGCUGCCGAAGCUGCUGCUGCUGCCGCUGCGCCAACCGGCGCCGGCGCCGGGAAAGACACUCAGAGUUACCCUAGCCUAAAGGAAGCCGUUAACACCAAGCAGAAGAAGAAAACCAAGAUGAGCUUACAAGAGUUCACGAUGCAGAGCACUUACACACCUGCCGGAGGAUAUGGCUCCGGAUCCACUAGCCGCUUAACUCCAGAAGAGAUGCUCCGCCUUCCCACCGGUCCAAAGGAACGAUCCGCUGAAGAAAUGCAAUAUGGUCGUCUUGGUGGUGGGUUUUCUAACUAUGGGUCCCGUGGUAUGGGCCCACCAUCCGGCCGGGGAAGAGAUCGAGAGGCAGAUGGUGACGGUUCUUGGGGUGGUAAUCGGAGGUCGUAUGGUGGAUUUGACGAUGAUCGACGAGGUCCACCUUCUAGGGGUUCCGAUUUUGAUCAACCAUCUAGAGCUGACGAGGUUGAUAAUUGGGCUUCAUCGAAGAAAUCCUUACCCAUGCAAUCACUGGAUUCCGGUUCCGCCCGUUCCAAUCGGUAUGGUUCUCUCGGAUCCGGAGAUGGAAUUUCUAGGGCUGAUGGUGAUGACAAUUGGGGUGCUUCGAAAAAGUCCAAUGUCGCCCCACCGCCACAAGGGAGGCCUUGGUUCCCUGAUUCCAGGCCUGAACCAGAGCGUUGGUCUCGUGAGGCAAACCAUGAAAGGCAGAGAUUGGUUCUGGAUCCACCCAAGAUGGAGACGGGAAGUGAAAAUGUGAACGAGACUGUGGUGAAAGUGAACAAGCCUAAUCCUUUUGGGGCGGCGAGGCCACGGGAGGAGGUGUUGGCGGAGAAGGGAUUGGACUGGAAGAAAAUGGAUAAGGAAAUUGAGGUGAAGAAGGGAAUUGGAAGUAGGCCAACAAGCUCACAUUCAAGUAGGCCUGGGAGUUCACAGUCGGCCCGUUCUGAAGGCACAACAUUGCAAGGGGGAAUGGUGGAAGGUGGUGGAGUUAAACCUAAGCCGAAGGUUAAUCCUUUUGGAGAUGCAAAGCCUAGGGAAGUUUUGCUUGAAGAAAAAGGUUUAGACUGGAGAAAGAUUGAUUUGGAUUUGGAGCAUCGACGCAUUGACAGACCAGAGACAGAGGAGGAAAAGAAUCUGAAAGAAGAAAUAGAGCAGCUCAGAAAGGAAGCUACAGAGUGUUCAGAGGAGGACAAGACUAAUUUACAGAAUGUGAUUAAUCAGAAAGAGAAGGACUUGGAGCUGCUGAUCCGUGAAUUGGAUGACAAAGUCCGUUUCAGUCAGAAACCCAUUCAAAGGCCAGGCUCUGGAUCAGGCAGGGGUGCUGGACAUCCAGAUAGGAGCCUUUCUCAUCAAGCAUCUUAUGAGGACCGUAGAGCUGGUGAUCAGAUGGACAGGCCUAGAUCACGCGGUGGAGGAGAUGCAUGGGCAAGGCCAAGUGACCAAAUGGAGAGGCCUCGAUCACGUAGUGGUGCAGAUGCAUGGGCCAGGCCAAAUGAACAGGUGGAGAGGCCUCGAUCACGGGGUGGUGGAGAUGCAUGGGCAAGGCCAGGUGAUGAGAGAAGAUCUUUCCAAGGAGGCAGAGGGGGAUAUUUUGGCAGCCGAGAGUCUGAUAGGACAAGAUCUGAGGACAAAUGGUGAUGUUCAAGUACUGUGGAUUCUUUGGCCAAUAUUGCCUCCUUUUUUUGUGCUCUCUGACAAAUUAGAACAGAAUAAUAUUGUUCGAGUUCCAUCUUUUUUGGGUUUUAGUUUUGCUGCAAGGAUGAUGCUAGAAUUACCGAGUGUUGUUGAUACGAGCGUUUUUGCAGUGGAUAAUCGUCCCAUGUCAAAGUUGUGUAAAAGUGCAUUUUUCCUCCAUUUCUCUUUGGAGGCAGGGUACCUGUUUUGUUUAUUGCUCAAAACAACUAAUGUAACGUGGAAUUGUGGUCAUACUUUUUUAUCCUAAUCCUUUUAGUAGGUAAAAGCUCUGCUUUUUUAUUCAAACAAUGGUUCCCAUGUA